This 468-nucleotide ribosomal RNA is filed under the name uncultured bacterium. RNAcentral describes it as "partial 16S ribosomal RNA". It matches the Rfam family "Bacterial small subunit ribosomal RNA", at positions 28 to 507 of the family's 1533-position model. The record is from RNAcentral.
GACGAACGCUGGCGGCGUGCUUAACACAUGCAAGUCGAACGGAAAGGCCCUGCUUUUGUGGGGUGCUCGAGUGGCGAACGGGUGAGUAACACGUGAGUAACCUGCCCUUGACUUUGGGAUAACUUCAGGAAACUGGGGCUAAUACCGGAUAGGAGCUCCUGCUGCAUGGGGGGGGUUGGAAAGUUUCGGCGGUUGGGGAUUGACUCGCGGCUUAUCAGCUUGUUGGUGGGGUAGUGGCUUACCAAGGCUUUGACGGGUAGCCGGCCUGAGAGGGUGACCGGCCACAUUGGGACUGAGGUACGGCCGAGACUCCUACGGGAGGCAGCAGUGGGGAAUAUUGCACGAUGGGCGGAAGCCUGAUGCAGCAACGCCGCGUGCGGGAUGACGGCCUUCGGGUUGUAAACCGCUUUCGCAUGUGACGAAGCGUGAGUGACGGUAAUGUGUACAGAAGCACCGGCUAACUACGUG